GCGCCCAUGGCCUAAUGGAUAAGACGCUUGACUUCUAAUCAAGUGAUCAAGUGAUUGUGGGUUUGAGUCCCACUGGGCGUG
This is a transfer RNA of Ipomoea nil (Japanese morning glory), 81 nucleotides long. It matches the Rfam family "tRNA". From Rfam's summary of the family: Transfer RNA (tRNA) molecules are approximately 80 nucleotides in length. Their secondary structure includes four short double-helical elements and three loops (D, anti-codon, and T loops). The record is from Rfam. Lineage: Eukaryota; Viridiplantae; Streptophyta; Magnoliopsida; Solanales; Convolvulaceae.